UGAGAAGUCUGGCUUUCUUAAACAAUUUAAGAUGAAGUCCAGACGUUUGGAUACGUGCGCCUAGUGGGCCAUUUUUGGUAAGCAGAACUGGCGCUGCGGGAUGAACCGAACGUUGAGUUACGGCGCCCGACGAGACGCUCAUGAGAUCCCAUAAAAGGUGUUGGUUGCUAUAGACAGCAGGACGGUGGCCAUGGAAGUCGGAAUCCGCUAAGGAGUGUGUAACAACUCACCUGCCGAAGCAACUAGCCCUGAAAAUGGAUGGCGCUGUAGCGUCUGGCCUAUACUCAACCGUUAUUGUAAUGGUGUGUUUGAAAAGCACAUCCAUAACAGUCAUACAAUAACGAGUAGGAGGGCCGCGGCGGUAGCGUUGAAGGCGUACGGGCGUGAGCCUGGCUGGAGCUGCCGUCGGUGCAGAUCUUGGUGGUAGUAGCAAAUACUCAAGCGAGAACCUUGAGGACUGAAGUGGAGAAGGGUUCCAUGUGAACAGCAGUUGAACAUGGGUCAGUCGACCCUAAGGUAUCGGCGAAAGCCGUUCAGAAGCGGUGUGGAUAUGUAUGCAGAAAUGUGUACAGGUUAUUGGGUUACCUGCUGGUUGUGAAACGGGGGUUGGCUGGUAACGGCCGGCCUGCUGUCAUGAUUAGUAGCCAAUAAUCACCGCACCUGCCGAAAGGGAAUCGGGUUAAUAUUCCCGAACCUGGCAUCGGAGACUGAAUGGCCUUCGGGUCAUUACAUGCGGUAACGCAAAUGAACUCAGAGACGCUGACACGUACCCUGGGAAGAGUUGUCUUUUCUUGAUAAGGAGCAAACUCCCUGGAAUCGGAUCAUCCGGCGAUAGGGAGAAAGCAUCCGUAAAGCACCGCGGUUCUUGCGGUGUCCGGUGCGUACGUGUCGGUCCUUGAAAAUCUGAGGGAGAGUGUGAUUUUCGUGCCAGAUCGUACCCAUAUCCGCAGCAGGUCUCCAAGG
Molecule: ribosomal RNA, 963 nt
Filed under: Milnesium sp. C2248_3
Lineage: Eukaryota; Metazoa; Tardigrada; Eutardigrada; Apochela; Milnesiidae
Description: partial large subunit ribosomal RNA
Rfam family: Eukaryotic large subunit ribosomal RNA
Source: RNAcentral